RNAcentral lists this ribosomal RNA (260 nucleotides) under uncultured bacterium. RNAcentral describes it as "partial 16S ribosomal RNA". It matches the Rfam family "Bacterial small subunit ribosomal RNA", at positions 524 to 783 of the family's 1533-position model. The record is from RNAcentral.
GACGUAGGGCGCGAGCGUUGUCCGGAUUUAUUGGGCGUAAAGAGCUCGUAGGCGGCUCGUUGCGUCCAUCGUGAAAACUCAGGGCUUAACUCUGAGCUUGCGGUGGAUACGGGCGGGCUAGAGUUCGGUAGGGGAGACUGGAAUUCCUGGUGUAGCGGUGAAAUGCGCAGAUAUCAGGAGGAACACCGGUGGCGAAGGCGGGUCUCUGGGCCGAUACUGACGCUGAGGAGCGAAAGCGUGGGGAGCGAACAGGAUUAGAA